GUGUCAGCCGCCGCGGUAAGACGGAGGAUGCAAGCGUUAUCCGGAAUGAUUGGGCGUAAAGCGUCCGCAGGUGGCAAUUCAAGUCUGCUGUUAAAGCGCAGGGCUUAACUCUGUAAAGGCAGUGGAAACUGAAUAGCUAGAGUGUGGUAGGGGCAGAGGGAAUUCCCAGCGUAGCGGUGAAAUGCGUAGAGAUUGGGAAGAACAUCGGUGGCGAAGGCGCUCUGCUGGACCAUAACUGACACUCACAGGACGAAAGCUAGGGGAGCGAAUGGGAUUAGAUACCCCAGUAGUCCUAGCCGUAAACGAUGGAUACUAGGUGUUGUCUGUAUCGACCCGGACAGUGCCGUAGCUAACGUGUUAAGUAUCCCGCCUGGGGAGUACGCACGCAAGUGUGAAACUCAAAGGAAUUGGCGGGG
RNAcentral lists this ribosomal RNA (416 nucleotides) under uncultured cyanobacterium. RNAcentral's name for it is "bacterial SSU rRNA". It matches the Rfam family "Bacterial small subunit ribosomal RNA", at positions 505 to 918 of the family's 1533-position model. Lineage: Bacteria; Bacillati; Cyanobacteriota. The record is from RNAcentral.